GUGAACGUUCAGGGGUAAUGAGAANCGSCGAAAGGUCGAAAGAGGAAAUUUCAUUCGCGUUUCGGCUGUCGAAGUUGGAUUUUUGUAUGACGGAUAACGUUUCGGCGUCGUUNGCUUCNUAUAUCCUUCGAGUCGAUGUCGAACGCGUGCACUUUUCCUCUAGUAGGACGUCGCGAUCCGUUGGGUGUCUGUCUAAGACUUGAGAUGGAGCCCGCGUAAUUCUAUUACGCGAACACUCGAUGUUCCGACAGACUCGCUCGACGGUAUACAAAUGGCGCGAGGCCGCUAUCUAAGUUAGCGUUCGGCCCGUAGCAAGCGCGUUUUGUGUUUGACGGCGAUCGGACCUAGUCUCGGUUCUGUCCCAAAACGACUGUUGGUUGCGGUGCUCUCGAACAGACCUCGAAUGAAACGCCGAUCAGCGACGCUCUAGAUUUGGGUACUUUCAGGACCCGUCUUGAAAC
RNAcentral lists this ribosomal RNA (461 nucleotides) under Gynandrobrotica nigrofasciata. Its description in RNAcentral is "eukaryotic LSU rRNA". Lineage: Eukaryota; Metazoa; Arthropoda; Insecta; Coleoptera; Chrysomelidae. The record is from RNAcentral.